UACAGAGGUCUCAAGCGUUGUUCGGAUUCAUUGGGCGUAAAGGGUGCGUAGGCGGAUUAGUAAGUCAGUGGUGAAAGCCCAUCGCUUAACGGUGGAACUGCCAUUGAUACUGCUAGUCUUGAGUAUGGUUGAGGUGGGCGGAAUGUGUCAUGUAGCGGUGAAAUGCUUAGAUAUGACACAGAACACCAAUUGCGAAGGCAGCUCGCUAAACCAUAACUGACGCUGAUGCACGAAAGCGUGGGGAGCAAACAGG
This 253-nucleotide ribosomal RNA is filed under the name uncultured bacterium. Its description in RNAcentral is "partial 16S ribosomal RNA". It matches the Rfam family "Bacterial small subunit ribosomal RNA", at positions 524 to 776 of the family's 1533-position model. The record is from RNAcentral.